CAAGUACAGCAGAGACGAGAGAGAGAGCGAGUGGCUUUUGGUUCACCUGUGGACAGGAGGAUAAAGGAGCUGCUUUACUUCCUUGGAUCGCUCUUACGCGUCCGUGUCCUGUCACCGAGCGGAGUCCGCGGGGAGAGGACUGUAUAGAACGGUCCGGCGGCCAAAAAUAGCACUGCAGAGGAGACUUUAAACCGAUAUCCCUCUGUUAAAAACAGCACUCAAGCAUUUCCUUUACAUGGGGAGAACAGACAUACCAACACAGCUCUACAAAUCGAGUUGUGGAAACUCGGAGUGAUGCUGCGCACCAGGCGAGAAGAGGAGGGGUUGGGGGAUCAAAAAUCUAUUUGGGAAUAUGCUUUCGGUCACUUUGAGCAGCCACUUAUGUAAACCAAGAGCUUCCAGAUCCGAGUCGAUCCGGAACAGUGUGAGGGUUCGAGGACCAGCUGGCAAGAGGAGGCGUGCGGCUGCUGUGGGUGUUUCUCUGGCAGUGUCUUAGCUGGUUGUUGUGAGGAGUGAGAACAAAGCAAUCAGCAAGUAUACUGCCGUAGAAAUUCUUUGCAAUAAGAGUCCUCGGAAUCCGUCUUGUCUAAUUGUCUAGACCCUUCUGCUAUGGUAUAAGAUGUCACGUGACGACAUUUCUUUAAUGAGGAGAUGAAGAAUGCUGAGUCAAGAUUCUGUCGGAGGAAAGCAUCACCUUGUCUUUUCUGAAAUGUCAUCUGCUGCCAUCUGGUGGCUGAAACAAACUCAACAAAUGUGUUGAUCUGUAGACUUCAGUUUAUACAAGGGGGCCUAAAAUAAACAGGCCAAUUUUAAUAUGUGUCAUUUCUUGAUUUGUUUUCGGAAUUAAAAAAAAAGACUAGCUAUAAUUGCAGUUUUUUUCAGCACUUCAUAUUAAAAAUGAACUAGGGCUGUCAAAUUUAUCGCGUUAACGAGCGGUAAUUAAUUUUUUAAAUUAAUCACGUUAAAAUAUUUGACGCAUUUAACGCAUGGGCGGAAUGACCGGCUCAUUUAUUGCCUCAAACAGAUUACAAUGACGCCGUUUUUUGCACAUUGAGAGCUAAGAGGCAGAGAAAGGCGAGUGGACACAGGCGUUCAUUGGACUAAAUUGAAUCAUUCAUUCAUUGGAUUAAAUUGAGUGAUUUAUUAGCUGUUGAAAACUUGCAGUAAAUAAUAAAAAAAAAAAAAAAGUUGCUAUUUUGGUCAAAAACUUUAUGUUAAAUAUUGCUAUUGAUCCUGAAAAUAUAGGUGAUCAUCUCUGCCGUUGAUGAUUUUUGUGCAUCUAGUGUAAAAAUCUGAGAUUUUAUUGCUAUUUUAAGUUAUGUUAUAUAAAAAAUAACUAAUCGGGAUUUUAUAAGGGAACGACUUUGAAUUUUUUUGAUACCGCUGCUCACGGACACUCAUACAUGGCUAAGGUAAGUGUCUGUUUUGGUUUUAUGUCGGUGGCAGGUUUGGUUUUGUAAAUAUUUGAAUUUGAUAUUUAAUAUUUGUUAUUCUAAAAAUAAAUAAAUAAAUACAAACUA
This is a long non-coding RNA of Corythoichthys intestinalis (scribbled pipefish), 1520 nucleotides long. RefSeq lists it as uncharacterized. NCBI's taxonomy places the organism in Eukaryota, Metazoa, Chordata, Actinopteri, Syngnathiformes, Syngnathidae. The transcript is spliced from 4 exons. The record is from RefSeq and is a predicted model, not a curated record.